UCGAGCGGUAUACAGAGAGUAGCUUGCUACUUUGCUGACGAGCGGCGGACGGGUGAGUAAUGCUUGGGAAUAUGCCUUUUGGUGGGGGACAACAGUUGGAAACGACUGCUAAUACCGCAUGAUGUCUACGGACCAAAGUGGGGGACCUUCGGGCCUCACGCCAAAAGAUUAGCCCAAGUGGGAUUAGCUAGUUGGUAAGGUAAUGGCUUACCAAGGCGACGAUCCCUAGCUGGUUUGAGAGGAUGAUCAGCCACACUGGGACUGAGACACGGCCCAGACUCCUACGGGAGGCAGCAGUGGGGAAUAUUGCACAAUGGGCGCAAGCCUGAAUGCAGCCAUGCCGCGUGCGUGAAGAAGGCCUUCGGGUUGUAAAGCACUUUCAGUAAGGAGGAAAGGUUAAGUUUUAAUAGAGCUUAGCUGUGACGUUACUUACAGAAGAAGCACCGGCUAACUCCGUGCCAGCAGCCGCGGUAAUACGGAGGGUGCGAGCGUUAAUCGGAAUUACUGGGCGUAAAGCGUACGCAGGCGGUAUAUGUUAAGCGAGAUGUGAAAGCCCCGGGCUCAACCUGGGAACUGCAUUUCGAACUGGCAAACUAGAGUGUGAUAGAGGGUGGUAGAAUUUCAGGCGUAGCAGUGAAAUGCGUAGAGAUCUGAAGGAAUACCGAUGGCGAAGGCAGCCACCUGGGUCAACACUGACGCUCAUGUACGAAAGCGUGAGGAGCAAACAGGAUUAGAUACCCUGGUAGUCCACGCCGUAAACGAUGUCUACUAGAAGCUCGGGUCCUCGGACUUGUUUUUCAAAGCUAACGCAU
This 812-nucleotide ribosomal RNA is filed under the name uncultured Gammaproteobacteria bacterium. RNAcentral's name for it is "bacterial SSU rRNA". It matches the Rfam family "Bacterial small subunit ribosomal RNA", at positions 62 to 860 of the family's 1533-position model. The record is from RNAcentral. Lineage: Bacteria; Pseudomonadati; Pseudomonadota; Gammaproteobacteria.